RNAcentral lists this ribosomal RNA (776 nucleotides) under uncultured Neocallimastigales. RNAcentral describes it as "partial large subunit ribosomal RNA". It matches the Rfam family "Eukaryotic large subunit ribosomal RNA", at positions 22 to 634 of the family's 3401-position model. Lineage: Eukaryota; Fungi; Neocallimastigomycota; Neocallimastigomycetes; Neocallimastigales. The record is from RNAcentral.
CUAUACAUGACUCUGCGCAUAUCAAUAAGCGGAGGAAAAGGAAACUAACAAGGAUUCCCUUAGUAACGGCGAGUGAAGCGGGAAGAGCUCAAAUUUGAAAUCUUCAAGGUUUUACCUUGACGAAUUGUAGUUUAAAGAAGUGUUUUCUGCUGAAGUUUUGGUAAAAGUUCUUUGGAAUAGGGACAUCAUAGAGGGUGAGAAUCCCGUAUUUGACCAUUAUUUUCAGCUUUGUGAUACACUUUCAAAGAGUCGGAUUGUUUGGGAAUGCAGUCCAAAAUGGGUGGUAAAUUUCAUCUAAAGCUAAAUAUUGGCGAGAGACCGAUAGCGAACAAGUACCGUGAGGGAAAGAUGAAAAGAACUUUGAAAAGAGAGUUAAACAGUACGUGAAAUUGUCAAAAGGGAAGCGUUUGACACCAGUGUUGUUUUCUCGAAAAUCAAUUAAAAAUGGCUCGAUUUUGUAUUGUUGAGACCUUAAAAGCUCACUGUACAUUUUUCGUGUCUUUUUUAAUGCACUUUUCGUUUAACAAGUCAACAUCAGUUUCUUUUGUUGUAAAAGGGUCAUUGGAAGGUGGCUUUCUUUUCGGAGAAAGUGUUUAUAGCCUUUGGCCUCUGCAAUCGGAGAGACUGAGGUCUGCAGCGUAGACUCUUCGGGGUUAGAUACAUUUGUGCUAAGUUAUAGCUUUUUAUAGACAACUUGUUGACUAUAAUUAGUCUUGUAGCUUACUCGCUUAUGCUAUUUUACCUACGCUUAGGAUGUUGAAGAUGUAGCACAUCAU